Molecule: unclassified non-coding RNA, 230 nt
Filed under: Hevea brasiliensis (rubber tree)
Lineage: Eukaryota; Viridiplantae; Streptophyta; Magnoliopsida; Malpighiales; Euphorbiaceae
Source: RNAcentral
UUUGCAAUUCAUUCAUAAGAAAGACAUACAAGCAUUGCCUACUUUCGCCAAAUCCACUUACAACAAUAGAGACAUGGUUCACCAAACACAAUAAAUCAAGCUCACGAAAUUCCAACAUUAUCCUCGAAAUUCAGAAUUACAUCAGAUUACAGACAUCCAACUUCACUGUUCUUCCUUUUUAAAAUUUUCUUAGGCCUGGGUAAAGGCAUUGCCCUCAGCUUUUUCCUUUG